RNAcentral lists this ribosomal RNA (484 nucleotides) under uncultured delta proteobacterium. RNAcentral's name for it is "bacterial SSU rRNA". It matches the Rfam family "Bacterial small subunit ribosomal RNA", at positions 903 to 1382 of the family's 1533-position model. The record is from RNAcentral. Lineage: Bacteria; Deltaproteobacteria.
UUAAAUGAAGUUGACGGGGCCCGCACAGCGGUGGAGCAUGUGGUUUAAUUCGACGCAACGCGAAAACCUUACCUGGGCUUGACAUGCUGGUAGUAGUGAACCGAAAGGGAAACGAUCCUGAGCAAUCAGGAAGCCAACACAGGUGCUGCAUGGCUGUCGUCAGCUCGUGUCGUGAGAUGUUGGGUUAAGUCCCGUAACGAGCGCAACCCCUACCUUUAUUUGCCAUCAUUUAGUUGGGCACUCUAAAGGAACCGCCUCGGUCAACGGGAGGAAGGUGGGGAUGACGUCAAGUCCUCAUGGCCUUUAUGCCCAGGGCUACACACGUGCUACAAUGGCCAGUACAAAGGGCUGCAAACCCGCGAGGGUCAGCAAAUCCCAAAAACCUGGCCUCAGUUCGGAUUGGAGUCUGCAACCCGACUCCAUGAAGUUGGAAUCGCUAGUAAUCGCAGAUCAGCGUGCUGCGGUGAAUACGUUCCCGGGCCUU